UGCAGUCUGGUCAGAUUCAGCCUUCAUUUCCACUGAAGUGGGAGCUGUCACAUGGCCUCCGUGGCAGGUGCCAGCUCACGUCCAGCUUCCUGUCCUGGAACCUAGGGGCAAGUUUGGCUGUGAACAUGG
Molecule: small nucleolar RNA, 129 nt
Organism: Tupaia belangeri (northern tree shrew)
Lineage: Eukaryota; Metazoa; Chordata; Mammalia; Scandentia; Tupaiidae
Source: Ensembl